GCUGAAAACAUGAAUUUUCCACAUAGAUAUAAUUAUAGACAAAGAGGAUAGCAAUAAGAGCACUCUGGAGAAGUGAGAAUAUCUUUUGAAAAGGAAAGCAAAUCCAGCCAGAAAUCAAAAUAUUUUCCAUUUCCUUCAGAAAAUUACACAAUUCUCCCGUCCCAGCAGGCGAAAGGCAAGAGAAAAUCAAGAAGAGAUUUCAAGCUGGAAAUAGUGGAGUAUGCAGAACAGAAGGAUACGUUACAUGACAAGGUGGAGGAGAUCAUUUUUCCGUUCAGAAAAAGAGGGAAAUAUCUGGAAGUCAGUGGGGAAGAAAAGGUCAAUUGGAUACUCAAAUAGGGCAGACAGUAAUGCAGAACUCCAAUGGGAGGAAGAAAACAGGUGAAAUCAAAGCACCACUAAACAAGGGACCACACACAUUUUUUACUUCCUCCAGAAUAUCAGUGGUGGAAAAGGUCCACAGAUGUCACUAUUGUGGUAUAAAGCACAGAUUGCAAAAGCUA
Long non-coding RNA from Protobothrops mucrosquamatus (brown spotted pit viper), 503 nucleotides. RefSeq lists it as uncharacterized. NCBI's taxonomy places the organism in Eukaryota, Metazoa, Chordata, Lepidosauria, Squamata, Viperidae. The transcript has 2 exons. The record is from RefSeq and is a predicted model, not a curated record.